Elaeis guineensis (African oil palm) is the source of this 2762-nucleotide non-coding RNA. The record is from RefSeq and is a predicted model, not a curated record. NCBI's taxonomy places the organism in Eukaryota, Viridiplantae, Streptophyta, Magnoliopsida, Arecales, Arecaceae.
UAAGUUAUUAUUUUUCUGCAAUUUUCUUUUAUUUUUUUGAUUAUUUUCAGUUUUAGUUUGUUAUUUUGGGGUCUAAGGCAGGGAUUAGAAGAUCUCAAAUUCUCAAUGCUUAUCUAAGAACCUAAUUGCUGUAGCACAUUACCAUUUUUGGCACUGUUAUGCUACAGUAAUCAUGAAAAGUAACCAUGCCUUAUUAGGGGCAUUUUUGGGCUUUGAAAUAGUGUUACUCUUUUGUUAGAGUUUGAUGUAAUCAGACUUUGUGCAGAUUAUGAGUGAAAUAAUGGGGUAGCUGUUUUUCUUUACUCUUGUGGAGUGAGCCUCCAAUAGGGGUGUGAGGCCUUCAAAACCCUAGCUGUGAUUCCCAGGUCCUUGAGCGAGGCCCAUACUAUUUUCUGUAUUUCCUUUCUUUUUAGUAAUAAUAUGUGUUCUUUACUUAUUUGUUAUUUUUAACAUCUAUUUUUACCUUUUUUUCCCUUGUAUUUAUUCAAAUUGCUUCCUUUGAUGUCUAAAGAUCCUAUGGUCCAGCUGUAAAACUCGCUGCUCAGAUUUGUCUUUCAAUAUCACUUUAAAUCCUUUUGUUUUCUUAUUUAGAUUUCUUCCUACAAGUUAAUUCAUAAUCUCUAGGUUUGUUGCCACAUCCGUCAUCAAUUUCAUGUUAAAUAAAAUUUCAGUUUUUAUAGUUCAUAUUUAUAUAAAACUCAGAUCUGCAAUGGAAAUUCCAUCACCUUUUAGGUUUCAAUUCUCUUCUAAACCCUUCUAGAUCCCCUUCUGUUAACUGUCCUACGUCAUCGUGUGUAAAUAUGUAUAGAGGAAAUCCAAUAAUCAUGAUGGUUGUUCAAAUAACAUUGUCCAUGCACAUGAGCAACAUCAACAUCACAUAUUGUAAUAUUAAUCAUUUAACAUGUCCAUCUUUGGAAGGUCAACAUCCAUUUUUUUAUAUAUAGGAAACCCGUAGUUGAGCAAGCGAAGUUGGACUCAUUUGUUCCUUGAGAUGAAUAGCUUGGUGGUACUUGUGAUUGAAGUAUGUAAGAGAGAACUAGUGGUUGGUCAACAUGUCACAUCCCUUGCGUAGGACUUGUAAGGAUUUAUGUGCUUGUGUUUAGUCCCACAUUAUAUGUGCAUCAGGUACAUCUUGGGUCCUUAUAUAGGGUCUAGGAAUCUAAAUAAUACUUUUCGACUAGUCUUUUUGGAUGAGGUUCGGGGUUGUUACAAAUGAUAUCAGAGUGAACCUAGCUUAUGGCCUAUGUGGACUAGAGGACAUUGCAACAUGGGCCCAUUUAAGUCAACCAAGGGCUGAUCAUGGUGUUUGUGAUUGUAUUUGAAUGGAUUUGGAUUUUUAGCUUGAUGGGAAUGCUAGGGCUUAAACGAGGAGAGUAUGUGAAAACUCACACGCACAUGUUUAGUCCCACAUCGGUUGUGCAUCAAGUAGAUAUGGGGUACUUAUGCAGGGCCAAAGAACCCAAGUAAUACCUUUUGUCUAGCUUUUUUGGGUGAGAUCCUGGGUUAUAACAAAUAUGCGAGGAUAGUGCAGGCUAGCGUUUAGUUCUAUAUUGACCAUGCAAUGGGUAAAUCAUAUGUACUUAUUUUGGACCAAAGAACCCAAAUAAUAUCUUUCUGCUAGCUUUUUUAGGUGAGAUCUUAGGUCGUUAUAAAUGGUAUCUGAGUGGAUCUGGCCUAUAGCCCAUGCGGACUAGGGGACACUACAGUAUAGGUCAUGAUUGGAUUUGUGGUGCUUAUGAUUGGAUUUGAAUGGAUUUGGAUCUUUAGCUUGGCGAGAAUAUCGGGGCUUAAAUAGGAGUAUGUGAGGAUUAUGUGGGCAUCUAUCUAGUCCCACAUUGAUUAUAUAAUGGGUAGAUCUCGGGUAUUUAUACAGGACCAAGAAACCCAAACAAUUCCUUCUAGCUAGCUUUUUUGGAUGAGGUUUUGGGACUUUGUGCAUCCUUGAAGCCAUCUGAAGAGCAUCUGAUGAUAUCCACUAAGAUCCUGAAUCUUUUUAUAUAAAGAAUUAUGGAGAUUUGUAUACAUGUAUCAUAGCUGUAGCAACUAGUAUCUGUAUCUCAUAUGUAUUGAUUAUGGACAUGAGACGUAAUUUGAAGUAUUCAUGCUUCUUAGCUGAGCAUUACUUUCUUUUACUUUUCCUUUGAGUGGUAUGUGCAUUGUUGGGUAUUAGGUAUAUCAAUUUCAAGCACUUAAUUUGAGUUCUGAUAGUGAAGAAACUAGUGAUGCAGAACUUCGUCUUUAAGCAACAAAGAACCAGAGCACGGGCGCUGAUAAAUGUUAUCAAGGACCCUGCAUGCCCUCCUCCUAUCUCUAUCUUGUUAUUUGCAAAGACGGUAUCCGACUUUACUAAUUGUUUUUUAUAGCAGGCUUGGUAAAUUUUUAAUAUCUUAUUAGUUCUACAUUUGUCUCUAUACAUUAGGGUUCCAACUUCAACUUCAUUACCGCAUGAAUUUGCUGCUCAUUGAUGUUUUUCUUUGAUAAAAGAAUAUUUUAUUUAAUAGGCCUAGUCAAGCUAUCCAUUGGAGCACCAUCAAUUAGAAUUCCCAAGUCAAAAACUUGGAAAACACCUUCUAAGGUUCAAAUGGGGAACUAUGUUGGGGGGGAGGUUGCGACCGUACAACUGUUGGGCUAUGACCCAUUUUGCAUGGACAUGUCAUGUGAUACAAUUGUAAGACAAUAAGCUAUAUUCGGGGUCAUGUUAGUGAUCUUGCACAGCUCAAGUGUAUCAUUAGAAUUUUAGCUAUCAAUCUUCUCUGUUUUCU